GAGUUUGAUCCUGGCUCAGGACGAACGCUGGCGGCGUGCUUAACACAUGCAAGUCGAACGGGAUCACCUUUCGGGGUGGUUUAGUGGCGAACGGGUGAGUAACACGUGAGUAACCUGCCCUCAGCUUUGGGAUAAGCCUGGGAAACUGGGUCUAAUACCGAAUAUUCAUAUCCUGUCGCAUGGUGGGGUGUGGAAAGGGUUUACUGGCUGGGGAUGGGCUCGCGGCCUAUCAGCUUGUUGGUGGGUGAUGGCCUACCAAGGCGGUGACGGGUAGCCGGCCUGAGAGGGCGACCGGCCACACUGGGACUGAGACACGGCCCAGACUCCUACGGGAGGCAGCAGUGGGGAAUAUUGCGCAAUGGGCGGAAGCCUGACGCAGCGACGCCGCGUGGGGGAUGACGGCCUCGGUUGUAACGUACUUUCUAGUCCCGACCGAACGACGACGAGU
RNAcentral lists this ribosomal RNA (448 nucleotides) under uncultured bacterium. Its description in RNAcentral is "bacterial SSU rRNA". It matches the Rfam family "Bacterial small subunit ribosomal RNA", at positions 9 to 461 of the family's 1533-position model. The record is from RNAcentral.